RNA transcript from Hypomesus transpacificus, 6237 nucleotides. It is a transcript of the gene named attractin-like 1b, with no coding region annotated. Lineage: Eukaryota; Metazoa; Chordata; Actinopteri; Osmeriformes; Osmeridae. The transcript is spliced from 30 exons. The record is from RefSeq and is a predicted model, not a curated record.
UUUAGAGUUUUCUUCAACCUGAGGAGCUGCUAGCCGUUAGCCGCUAACAAGCCCAGCACUGGCUAGCUACUCUGCUAGUGUGGAUACACAAGACCCGCUGCUAGCUAAAGUGCGCCGCAUAGUUGUUUUUCCGAAUGGAUUAAAUGGAAGCGCCACAACACCAAAGGCCUAAACAUCACCUUAACGAGGGCCUGUAAAUAGAUUGGACAACAAUGACUAAACCUUGCAUUUAUGAAGACUUGCUAAAUCCCCCCUCGCCAAGACCACCAGCAACAACAUCGCUGUUAUUGACUACUGCUGCAAUCCAGAUAUGAUUCCGGGGCCACAAUUGAAAAGGACUUUAAGUCCUUUUGUUCACUUUAAAUGUUGACAAGAUCAUAUGGUGGCGCACAUAUCUGUGGGACUACUGCACCACAAUCGAAUCCUUUAUGACCAAACCAUAAGCUAAUUGACGGUGGAAUUGUUUACGCGUUAAAAUGGCUGCUGAAAUGUAGGUUUGGUUGAGAAUCAUCUUCAGUAAGAUGUAGUAAAUGUUGCCACAAUGUUUCUUUCUUGAAGUAUAAGUGGAAAUUUGGGACAAUGCGUCGCCUUCAACGUUUUUGCAGUAUUACUCGCUGAACUGAUUUUUCCACCCGUAACUGCAGGAGGCAGAGUGAAGGGAAUUUAUUUUAUGAAUACAGUUCAAUUCGUGAGCUGUCAUCUUUUACGUCUAUUUAUUUUUUAGUUUAACAUGUUUGCUGUCAAAUAGCUUUUCUGUGUGCUCUAGAUGCAGUAGUUUAUAUCCAAUUGAUUAUGCAAAGCAUUCAAAAAACAUUCACCACCACUACCCUGAAUCAGACCACCGGUUAAACAACCUGAGGUAGCACGAAACCAAGACUUACCAAAUUGAGGCCUUGGUCUUUUGACUUUUUCAAAAGGUAAAAUGGAUGCUGGGAAAACAUGUUGGACUGCUUCGUUCCCUGUCAGAGCCAGGCAGAGCCUAGACAGCGGACCGCAGGGGAUCAGGCAGGGCCGAGACAGCGGACUGCGGGGUAUCAACAGAUACUUGCUGCUGUAUGUUUUGUUCUACUUUGUGCUCUUCACACACGCCUCCCCGAAAAAUUCUUGUGAUAAAAACUGCCUGUCUGGGAAGUGUGUCAAUGGGACAUGUAUCUGCGACCCAGGAUGGGUCGGUGAUCAAUGCCAGCACUGCCAAGGAAGAUUCAAGUUGACAGAGCCUUCCGGAUACCUCACUGAUGGGCCAAUCAACUACAAGUACAAGACCAAGUGCACCUGGCUCAUUGAGGCCUACCCCAACGCUGUCCUCAGACUGAGGUUCAACCACUUUGCCACAGAGUGCAGCUGGGACCACCUGUACGUAUACGAUGGGGACUCUGUCUACGCCCCUCUGGUCGCUGUGUUCAGUGGUCUGAUAGUGCCUGAAGUCCGGAUCAAUGAGACUGUACCGGAGGUGGAAACCAGCUCUGGAUACGCCCUGCUGCACUUCUUCAGCGACGCCGCCUACAACCUCACAGGAUUCGAGAUCUUCUAUUCGAUUAAUUCCUGCCCCAAUAACUGCUCUGGCCAUGGGAAGUGCACCACAGGGAACUCCAUCGCCAGCCGUGUGUACUGUGAGUGUGACAAGUACUGGAAGGGCGAGGCGUGUGACAUCCCCUACUGCCGCAACAACUGUGGCAGCCCAGACCAUGGCUACUGUGACCUCACCGGGGAAAAGCUCUGUGUCUGCAACGACAGCUGGCAGGGUCCAGAUUGUUCCCUGACGGUUCCGUCUACAGAGUCGUACUGGGUUCUGCCCGGGGUGAAGCCGUCAGGGGCGUGGCUAGCGAGGGCGUCCCACAGAGCUGUGCUGCAGGGCCAGCUGGUGUGGGUGGUAGGAGGAUACUCCUUCAACUACAGCUCCUUCCAGAUGAUCCUCAAUUACAACCUGGAGAGCGGUGUGUGGAACACGGUGCCUAGCAACAGCGGGCCCCUCCCCAGAUACGGCCACUCCCUCGCCAUCUACCAGGAUGACCUCUACAUGUUCGGGGGGAAGCUGGAGGCGGGUCCUGCCAAUGUGACGGAGGAACUGUGGGUGUUCCACACCUCCAGUCGUACCUGGUCCCAGGUGCGCCCCGCCCCCGGCCACGCCCUGGUGCAUGCUGUGGAGGGCCACUCCGCCCACAUGGCCCUGCUGCAGGGGGGCAAGCCUGUCAUGGUUGUGCUGUUCGGCUACUCACCCGUCUACAGCUACAUCAGCAGCGUGCAGGAGUACAACAUCCGGAGCAACACGUGGUCGCUCCCGGAGACGCGAGGGGCGGUGCCCCAGGGAGGGUACGGCCACAGCAGUGUGUACCAUGCAGCCAGCAACAGCGUGUUCCUGCAUGGAGGCUACAAGGCCCUGCCUGCCAACAAGUAUGGACUGGUGGACCACCUGUACCGCUACCAAGUCCACACACACACCUGGACCAUCCUGAAGGAGAGUGGUUCUCCCCGCUAUCUGCACUCGUCUGUGCUGCUCAGUGGAACGCUGCUGAUCUUCGGAGGGAACACGCACAACGACACGUCGCUUAGCAACGGGGCCAAGUGCUUCUCCGCCGACUUCCUGGCCUAUGACAUCGCCUGUGAUCAGUGGAGCACUCUGCUCAAGCCGGAUCUGCACCGGGAUGUCAACCGCUUCGGUCACUCUGCCGUGGUCAGCAACGGGUCCAUGUAUGUGUUUGGAGGGUUCUCUGGCGUGCUCCUGAACGAUGUGCUGGUGUACCAGCCCCCACGCUGCCAAGCCUUCCUGGAGCAGCAGGCCUGCCUGGGGGCAGGACCCGGCCUACGCUGCAUCUGGGACCUGCACCACUGCUCCGCCUGGGAGCCCAGCAUCAACACCACCACCCCCGCUCCCUUCUGCCCCCCCAGGCCAGUCACGGUGGAUGAGCGCUGCUACAGGUUCUCUGACUGCAGCAGCUGCACCUCCAACACUAACGGCUGCCAGUGGUGCGACGACAAGAAGUGCCUGUCUGCCUCCAGCAACUGCACCGUGAGUGUCCGAGUGUUUGAGCAGUGUGCAGUGAGGAGCGAGCAGAGCUGUAGCCGGCUGGCUAACUGUCGCAGCUGCUCCCUCAACCCCAUCUGUCAGUGGGACCCUCACCAGAUGGAGUGCCAUGCCCUUCCAGCCCAGCUGUGUGGAGAGGGUUGGACCCAGGUGGGGGAGGUGUGUCUGAGGAUCAACUCCAGCAGGGAGAGCUACGACAAUGCGCAGCACUACUGUAAGAACCUGGCGGGGAACAUCGCCUCGCUCAGCUCUGCCACUCAGGUCCAUUUCAUCCUGGAGGAGCUGCACAAACUGCAGCAGCACCACAAGCGUCUGUCCCCCUGGGUGGGUCUGAGGAAGAUCAACGUGUCGUACUGGGGCUGGGAGGACAUGUCCCCCUUCACCAACUCCUCCCUGCAGUGGCUGCCUGGGGAGCCCAAUGACUCUGGCUUCUGUGCCUUCCUGGAAGAGACGCAGGUGUCGGGGCUCCGGGCCAACCCCUGCACCGCCCCCGCAGACGGCCUCAUCUGUGAGAAACCUGCUGUGAGCCCCAACCAGAGUGCCCGUCCCUGUAAGAUGGCGUGCUCGCUGAGGACCAGCUGUGCCAACUGCACCAGCCAGGCCAUGGAGUGCAUGUGGUGCAGCAACACCCAGCGCUGUGUGGACUCCACCGCAUACGUCGUGUCCUUCCCCUACGGACAGUGUCUGGAGUGGCAGACUGGAGACUGUGUGGCCCAGAACUGCUCGGGGCUGCGUACGUGUGUGAUGUGUCUGGAGCAGCCAGGGUGUGGCUGGUGUGAAGACCCCAGCAGCACGGGGAGGGGCCAGUGUGUGGAGGGCUCCUACCGAGGGCCCAUGAAGGGCCCCAGCCAGAGCCACCCCACCUCCCAGGACAUGACCCUGGAGCCAGGCUUGUGCCCCAAGGAGAAGGGCUACGAGUGGGCUUUCAUCCACUGCCCUGCUUGCCAGUGUAACGGUCACAGCUCCUGUGUGAACGGCAGCGUGUGUGAGCAGUGCCGUAACCUCACCACCGGACAACACUGCCAGACCUGCAUGCCCGGUUACCAUGGAGAUCCCACCAACGGGGGGAAGUGUCAAGCCUGUAAGUGUAACGGCCAUGCCGGUGUGUGCCAGGUUCAGACUGGGAAGUGCUUCUGCACCACCAAGGGCAUCAAAGGAGACCACUGCCAGCUUUGUGACUCAGAGAACCGUUACCUUGGCAACCCCCUGAGAGGAACCUGUUACUACAACCUGCUGAUAGACUACCAGUUCACCUUCAGCUUGUUGCAGGAGGAUGACCACCACUACACAGCCAUCAACUUCAUGGCCACGCCUGAACAGACCAACAAGAACCUGGACAUGUCCAUCAACGCAUCCAACAACUUCAACCUCAACAUCACCUGGUCUGUGGGAUCCACAGCUGGGACAGUGUCUGGAGAGGAAGUCCCCAUCGUCUCCAAGACCAACAUCAAGGAGUACCGAGACAGCUUCUCCUGCGAGAAGUUCACCUUCAGGAGCAACCCCAACAUCACCUUCUAUGUAUACGUCAGCAACUUCUCCUGGCCCAUUAAAAUACAGAUUGCCUUCUCCCAGCACAACAGCAUCAUGGACCUGGUCCAGUUCUUCGUGACGUUCUUCAGCUGCUUCCUGUCGCUGCUGCUGGUGGCGGCCGUGGUGUGGAAGAUCAAGCAGACCUGCUGGGCAUCCAGACGCAGAGAGCAGCUGAUGAGGGAGAGGCAGCAGAUGGCCAGCAGGCCGUUUGCCUCCGUUGCCGUGGCGCUGGACAUCGGAGGCGAGCAAACUGAGCUCCUACCUGGAGGGGUUGAGGGCCCUCCCAAGCCCAUUGCCAUGGAGCCGUGUUCAGGAGGGCGUGCGGCGGUGCUGACAGUGCUGAUGUGUCUCCCCUCCGGACCCUCGCGCCUCCCCCCCCCUGGCCAGUCUGGAAUUGCCAUUGCCAGCGCCCUGAUUGACACGUCUCAGCAGAAACCAAUGGACUACAAAGAGAAGAGCCAGGCUUUGAAGAACCGCAAGACCCUCCCCCCUGCCCACCAGGGCACCUGUGUCUGAACAGCUCUCAGCUAACCCUGACCCUCAGGACUUCUGGCUUCAUUAGAUUGAUGGAGGUCUCCAGUCUCCAGCCCGUGUGGCCGGGGGACGGGGACCAUCCCAGAUCCAGGACAGGUGUUCCAUCAUGGUGUCUGAGGGCAGGACGUUCUCCCGGAGGGGCGUGUCCUUGUCUGUCCGUGUCGCUCUGCACCGCCACCGAUGUGAUCUGACUGACGAUGUCCGCCAAGCCGCAGUGAAUGCUGGCAUCCUCCUGCCACCUCCGGCUGUUCACCAGGACCCCAGCAGAUAGAUGGUUGUAAGUACAGUAUAUAAACUCCUCCCCAAAAGUUUGGAAACUCUCAAAACGAGAGUGAGUACCAACAGAGGAAUAUUGCAAGGGAUUUGGGCACAUUUUUUGGGGCCGCUACCCACACGGUUAGCUGUGUUGCUCAUUCCACGAAUGCACGAUCCUUACAAGUUGUACCUCAUUGUAAAGGUGACUAAUCAGGCUUUCCAACGGUAUUAAAUACAAUACCAAUUGGUAUUAUUGAAGGAGAGGAAUAAUCGACCCAAAUAACGUUUCCGAACUUUUUUGAGGAAUAUAUAUACAUAUUUCACCAUAUAUGAGGGAGAUAUUCGAAAUAGUCGGUGUCAAAAAGCAUUCCUGGUGAAUGCUCUGUGUCUGGGGUGUCUUUUUCUAUAAUUGUAUCAAUACGAUGUGAGGUCCAGUUACCAGCAUGACACUAAAACAGGCAAUAGUAAUGGCUGCUUUUCACUUAGGUAUAUGUCAGAGCACUUCUUUACUUUAACUUGAGUGAAAAGUGUGGAUAGUAUUUUAACUUUUCCCAAUUUUUUGAACCUGAGUAUCUGUAAUUCUACUUGAGUGGAAGGAUGUGUGAACUUUUGCAUCUCUGCACUGUUAUUACACUGUUAUUACACUGUUAUAAUUUGUCACUAAUGUUAUUGCAUUGUUAUUACGCUGUUAUUACACUGUUCUACUUGAGUUAAGGAUGUGUACUUUUGCCAUCUCUGGUUACUCCAGGUGUUUUUACUAUCUAAAUGAAUGUUACUGCAGAUAACAUCUACAGUAACAUUAACUUUUACUACGGGUACUUUUACUACGGGUGUUAUUACUAGGGAGUCAGGUGGCUGAGCGGUUAGGGAAUCCGGCUAGUAAUCUGAAGGUCGCC